Molecule: ribosomal RNA, 618 nt
Filed under: uncultured Helotiales
Lineage: Eukaryota; Fungi; Ascomycota; Leotiomycetes; Helotiales
Description: eukaryotic LSU rRNA
Rfam family: Eukaryotic large subunit ribosomal RNA
Source: RNAcentral
UUGACCUCGGAUCAGGUAGGGAUACCCGCUGAACUUAAGCAUAUCAAUAAGCGGAGGAAAAGAAACCAACAGGGAUUGCCUCAGUAACGGCGAGUGAAGCGGCAACAGCUCAAAUUUGAAAUCUGGCUCUUUCAGGGUCCGAGUUGUAAUUUGUAGAAGAUGCUUUGGGUGUAGCUCCGGUCUAAGUUCCUUGGAACAGGACGUCAUAGAGGGUGAGAAUCCCGUACGUGACUGGGUGCUUUCGCUCGUGUAAAGCUCUUUCGACGAGUCGAGUUGUUUGGGAAUGCAGCUCAAAAUGGGUGGUAAAUUUCAUCUAAAACUAAAUAUUGGCCAGAGACCGAUAGCGCACAAGUAGAGUGAUCGAAAGAUGAAAAGCACUUUGGAAAGAGAGUUAAACAGUACGUGAAAUUGUUGAAAGGGAAGCGCUUGCGACCAGACUUGCGCGCUGUUGAUCAUCCGAGGUUUUCCCCGGUGCACUCGGCAGCGUUCAGGCCAGCAUCGGUUUUGGUGGGCGGAUAAAGGCCUUGGGAAUGUAGCUUCUUUCGGGGAGUGUUAUAGCCCUCGGUGCAAUGCGCCCUACCGGGACCGAGGACCGCGCUCGGCUAGGAUGCUGGCGUA